GACGAACGCUGGCGGCAUGCCUUACACAUGCAAGUCGAACGGUAACGGGCCUUCGGGUGCCGACGAGUGGCGAACGGGUGAGUAAUGUAUCGGAACGUACCUUUCAGUGGGGGAUAACGUAGCGAAAGUUACGCUAAUACCGCAUAUUCUGUGAGCAGGAAAGCAGGGGAUCGCAAGACCUUGCGCUGAUUGAGCGGCCGAUAUCAGAUUAGCUAGUUGGUGAGGUAAAGGCUCACCAAGGCGACGAUCUGUAGCGGGUCUGAGAGGAUGAUCCGCCACACUGGAACUGAGACACGGUCCAGACUCCUACGGGAGGCAGCAGUGGGGAAUUUUGGACAAUGGGGGCAACCCUGAUCCAGCCAUGCCGCGUGAGUGAAGAAGGCCUUCGGGUUGUAAAGCUCUUUCGGCCGGGAAGAAAUCGUAUGGGUUAAUACCCUGUGCGGAUGACGGUACCGGCAUAAGAAGCACCGGCUAACUACGUG
Molecule: ribosomal RNA, 482 nt
Filed under: uncultured bacterium
Lineage: Bacteria
Description: bacterial SSU rRNA
Rfam family: Bacterial small subunit ribosomal RNA
Source: RNAcentral